RNAcentral lists this ribosomal RNA (688 nucleotides) under uncultured Bacteroidales bacterium. RNAcentral's name for it is "bacterial SSU rRNA". It matches the Rfam family "Bacterial small subunit ribosomal RNA", at positions 65 to 742 of the family's 1533-position model. The record is from RNAcentral. Lineage: Bacteria; Pseudomonadati; Bacteroidota; Bacteroidia; Bacteroidales.
AGGGGCAGCAUGGUCUUAGCUUGCUAAGACUGAUGGCGACCGGCGCACGGGUGAGUAACACGUAUCCAACCUGCCGUCUACUCUUGGACAGCCUUCUGAAAGGAAGAUUAAUACAAGAUGGCAUCAUGAGUCCACAUGUUCACAUGAUUAAAGGUAUUCCGGUAGACGAUGGGGAUGCGUUCCAUUAGAUAGUAGGCGGGGUAACGGCCCACCUAGUCUUCGAUGGAUAGGGGUUCUGAGAGGAAGGUCCCCCACAUUGGAACUGAGACACGGUCCAAACUCCUACGGGAGGCAGCAGUGAGGAAUAUUGGUCAAUGGGCGAGAGCCUGAACCAGCCAAGUAGCGUGAAGGAUGACUGCCCUAUGGGUUGUAAACUUCUUUUAUAAAGGAAUAAAGUCGGGUAUGCAUACCCGUUUGCAUGUACUUUAUGAAUAAGGAUCGGCUAACUCCGUGCCAGCAGCCGCGGUAAUACGGAGGAUCCGAGCGUUAUCCGGAUUUGUUGGGUUUAAAGGGAGCGUAGAUGGAUGUUUAAGUCAGUUGUGAAAGUUUGCGGCUCAACCGUAAAAUUGCAGUUGAUACUGGAUAUCUUGAGUGCAGUUGAGGCAGGCGGAAUUCGUGGUGUAGCGGUGAAAUGCUUAGAUAUCACGAAGAACUCCGAUUGCGAAGGCAGCCUGCUAAGCUGCAACUG